GCCUGGGUGGCUCAGUUGGUUGAGCAUCAGACUUUGGCUCUGAUCAUGAUCUCACAGUUCAUGAGUUCAAGCCCUGCACCGGGCU
This 85-nucleotide transfer RNA is filed under the name Felis catus (domestic cat). It matches the Rfam family "tRNA". Rfam says of the family: Transfer RNA (tRNA) molecules are approximately 80 nucleotides in length. Their secondary structure includes four short double-helical elements and three loops (D, anti-codon, and T loops). The record is from Rfam by way of RNAcentral. Lineage: Eukaryota; Metazoa; Chordata; Mammalia; Carnivora; Felidae.